GAAUAUGGGUAUAUUAGUUUGG
RNAcentral lists this microRNA (22 nucleotides) under Homo sapiens (human). RNAcentral's name for it is "hsa-miR-5583-3p". The record is from miRBase by way of RNAcentral. Lineage: Eukaryota; Metazoa; Chordata; Mammalia; Primates; Hominidae.